Molecule: ribosomal RNA, 782 nt
Filed under: uncultured zygomycete
Lineage: Eukaryota; Fungi
Description: eukaryotic LSU rRNA
Rfam family: Eukaryotic large subunit ribosomal RNA
Source: RNAcentral
AACUCGAUCUCAAAUCAAGUAAGACUACCCGCUGAACUUAAGCAUAUCAAUAAGCGGAGGAAAAGAAACUAACAAGGAUUCCCCUAGUAACGGCGAGUGAAGCGGGAUGAGCUCAAAUUUAAAAUCUGGCUGGUUUACUAGUCCGAAUUGUAGUUUAUAGAAGCGUUUUCGGUGGCAGCCUGGGUAUAAAUCCUUUGGAAUAGGGUAUCAUAGAGGGUGAGAAUCCCGUCUUUGACUCAGUGCAUGCUACUAUGUGAUACGUUUUCAAAGAGUCGAGUUGUUUGGGAAUGCAGCUCAAAAUGGGUGGUAAAUUUCAUCUAAAGCUAAAUAUUGGCGAGAGACCGAUAGCGAACAAGUACCGUGAGGGAAAGAUGAAAAGAACUUUGAAAAGAGAGUUAAACAGUGCGUGAAAUUGUUGAAAGGGAAACGUUUGACACCAGUUAUGCGGGUGGAAAAUCAGUCUUUUGCAAUGGGGAGUUGUGGGCGUUCAGACCGCAAGGCUGGCGUUUGCUUCAUCUUUGUUGUAAGUGAUGCACUUUUUCAUUUGCAGGUCAACAUCAGUUUGCUUUGCUGGACAAAACCCCAAGGGAAGGUGGCAGCUUAGGCUGUGUUAUAGCCCUGGGGCGAUACAGUGGAGUGGACUGAGGUUUCGCAGUGUGUGCUCUCGGGCAAGGCUGACUGGGUGCUAUGGGAUCGUUCGGCGUACAAUGCAUGCAUUUUGCGUCGUGUCUUUUUCAUACUCGCUCAACUCGGCUCUUCCACACUUAGGAUGUUGACUUAAU